RNAcentral lists this microRNA precursor (154 nucleotides) under Trypanosoma vivax Y486. The record is from RNAcentral. Lineage: Eukaryota; Euglenozoa; Kinetoplastea; Trypanosomatida; Trypanosomatidae.
GAGAGAGAGAGAGAGAGAGAGAGAGAGAACAAGAAAAAAGAAAAGAAAAAAAUGUAUGCGAGAUUUGUUUUUCUUUACUCCUUAGCCACGUAAUGAACGCGGGGAACGAGAUAUAGACAGUUUUGCUCUGUUCCUCUCGUUAUUUCACUAUUUU